UUGGUUGAUCACCGUCUUGACUCUUUAGUUCGUAGGCAGUGGCUCUAUAUAAUCACCAAGCUCUCUUUUGCAUAAUCACUAGUCUCUCCUUUGCCUGGCAAACACAAAGAAAUUAAAAAUGCCAGGCAACGACGAGGGAUCCAAAGUUGGUCGAGUUGUUGGGGCAGUGGCUGGAAUUGCUGUUGGAGUUGCCGCGGUGGCUUGGAGCAUAGCUAGUAUUGUGUCAGACUCAGGUUCAGCAGCUCCAAACAGGAAGACUAUGAAAGCUCCUGGAAGGGAUUAUAAGAUGUACCGGGAUGAUUUUGAGAAAGACCAUGCUGGUUAUUUUCGCAGCCUACGCGAAAAGUAAAGAAGAGAUUAGGAAUGUCUAAUUGGAAGAAUGAAUGGAUUAUCUGUCAAUCUGCUUUCUUGUUUUAAAUUUUAAUGGUAAUAAUGAAACUUAUUGUAUGCUGGUGGAUGCAUUUGAUUUCUGAUGCCUAAUUUUGUGUUCUCUGUCACUCUCUUUCUUUCACUCUCUCUCUCUCUCUUUGAUAUUUUUCUCUCAGAGCUUCAGGAUCAUCAUAGUAAAUCAAACAGAAUAAUUGCCAGCAAUGGAAUUAUGGUUUUGUGAGCUUUUCGUUUUCUAAAUGCAUCCCCAUUGGCCAUAAUUGAGCUUUAUUGGCCAUAAUUGAGCUCCAUUAGCCAUUGAGAAGAGGUAAGUAAUGUAAUAAUGUUUUCACGGUGCAGCACAAUUCAUCAAACAUCCUUUGAUGUCCAUGCAGAAUUGAGAGCCGACAAACAUAGUGCAGAAAGUGUUUAGGGUGUACUUAAACCGCCUACUCUAAUUCGAAUUCUUAAUAUUGUCA
RNAcentral lists this unclassified non-coding RNA (845 nucleotides) under Hevea brasiliensis (rubber tree). Lineage: Eukaryota; Viridiplantae; Streptophyta; Magnoliopsida; Malpighiales; Euphorbiaceae. The record is from RNAcentral.